CUACCAUGCAGUCGACGGUAGCACAGAGAGCUUGCUCUCGGGUGACGAGUGGCGGACGGGUGAGUAAUGCCUGGGAAACUGCCCGAUGGAGGGGGAUAACUACUGGAAACGGUAGCUAAUACCGCAUAACGUCUUCGGACCAAAGUGGGGGACCUUCGGGCCUCACACCAUCGGAUGUGCCCAGGUGGGAUUAGCUAGUAGGUGGGGUAAUGGCUCACCUAGGCGACAAUCCCUAGCUGGUCUGAGAGGAUGACCAGCCACACUGGAACUGAGACACGGUCCAGACUCCUACGGGAGGCAGCAGUGGGGAAUAUUGCACAAUGGGCGCAAGCCUGAUGCAGCCAUGCCGCGUGUAUGAAGAAAGCCUUCGGGUUGUAAAGUACUUUCAGUGGGGAGGAAGGCGAUGGAGUUAAUAGCUCCGUCGAUUGACGUUACCCGCAGAAAAAGCACCGGCUAACUCCGUGCCAGCAGCCGCGGUAAUACGGAGGGUGCAAGCGUUAAUCGGAAUUACUGGGCGUAAAGCGCACGCAGGCGGUCUGUCAAGUCGGAUGUGAAAUCCCCGGGCUCAACCUGGGAACUGCAUUCUAAACUGGCAGACUAU
This 601-nucleotide ribosomal RNA is filed under the name bacterium PQS-5. RNAcentral's name for it is "bacterial SSU rRNA". It matches the Rfam family "Bacterial small subunit ribosomal RNA", at positions 49 to 644 of the family's 1533-position model. The record is from RNAcentral.